RNAcentral lists this ribosomal RNA (343 nucleotides) under uncultured Acinetobacter sp. FR009. RNAcentral's name for it is "bacterial SSU rRNA". It matches the Rfam family "Bacterial small subunit ribosomal RNA", at positions 1 to 351 of the family's 1533-position model. The record is from RNAcentral. Lineage: Bacteria; Pseudomonadati; Pseudomonadota; Gammaproteobacteria; Moraxellales; Moraxellaceae.
UAGAGUUUGAUCAUGGCUCAGAUUGAACGCUGGCGGCAGGCUUAACACAUGCAAGUCGAGCGGGGGAAGUUGCUUCGGUAACUGACCUAGCGGCGGACGGGUGAGUAAUGCUUAGGAAUCUGCCUAUUAGUGGGGGACAACAUCUCGAAAGGGAUGCUAAUACCGCACACGUCCUACGGGAGAAAGCAGGGGAUCUUCGGACCUUGCGCUAAUAGAUGAGCCUAAGUCGGAUUAGCUAGUUGGUGGGGUAAAGGCCUACCAAGGCGACGAUCUGUAGCGGGUCUGAGAGGAUGAUCCGCCACACUGGGGACUGAGACACGGCCCAGACUCCUACNGGACGCAG